GAUGAACGCUGGCGGCGUGCUUAACACAUGCAAGUCGAACGAGAAGUGAAGACGGAAACCUUCGGGCGGAAGGCUUUAUUUCGAGUGGCGGACGGGUGAGUAACGCGUGGGUAACCUGCCUCAUACAGGGGGAUAACAGUUGGAAACGACUGUUAAUACCGCAUAAGACCACAGCACCGCAUGGUGCGGGGGUAAAAACUCCGGUGGUAUGAGAUGGACCCGCGUUCGAUUAGCCAGUUGGCGGGGUAACGGCCCACCAAAGCGACGAUCGAUAGCCGAUCUGAGAGGAUGACCGGCCACAUUGGGACUGAGACACGGCCCAAACUCCUACGGGAGGCAGCAGUGGGGAAUAUUGCACAAUGGGGGAAACCCUGAUGCAGCGACGCCGCAUGAGUGAAGAAGUAUUUCGGUAUGUAAAGCUCUAUCAGCAGGGAAGAAAAUGACGGUACCUGAGUAAGAAGCCCCGGCUAACUACGUG
RNAcentral lists this ribosomal RNA (478 nucleotides) under uncultured bacterium. RNAcentral describes it as "partial 16S ribosomal RNA". It matches the Rfam family "Bacterial small subunit ribosomal RNA", at positions 28 to 507 of the family's 1533-position model. The record is from RNAcentral.